GAAUGGCUUUAGGGGUGUCCAAAAAACGGACUGAGAUUCAUACCCUUUGAACCUGACACAGUUGAUGCUGUCGUAGGAAAAAGCGUUGUACCGGUA
This 96-nucleotide non-coding RNA is filed under the name Dyadobacter helix. RNAcentral's name for it is "Dyadobacter sp. CECT 9275 TPP riboswitch aptamer (THI element)". It matches the Rfam family "TPP riboswitch aptamer (THI element)". From Rfam's summary of the family: Vitamin B(1) in its active form thiamin pyrophosphate (TPP) is an essential coenzyme that is synthesised by coupling of pyrimidine and thiazole moieties in bacteria. The previously detected thiamin-regulatory element, thi box was extended, resulting in a new, highly conserved RNA secondary structure, the THI element, which is widely distributed in eubacteria and also occurs in some archaea. Analysis of operon structures identified a large number of new candidate thiamin-regulated genes, mostly transporters, in various prokaryotic organisms. Lineage: Bacteria; Pseudomonadati; Bacteroidota; Cytophagia; Cytophagales; Spirosomataceae. The record is from Rfam by way of RNAcentral.